GACUACUGGGGUAUCUAAUCCCAUUCGCUCCCCUAGCUUUCGUCCAUGAGUGUCAGUUGCGGCCUAGCAGAGCGCUUUCGCCACCGGUGUUCUUCCCAAUCUCUACGCAUUUCACCGCUACACUGGGAAUUCCCUCUGCCCCCACCGCACUCUAGCUGUGUAGUUUCCACUGCCUGUUCAGGGUUGAGCCCUGACCUUUGACAGCAGACUUACACUGCCACCUGCGGACGCUUUACGCCCAAUCAUUCCGGAUAACGCUUGCAUCCUCCGUAUUACCGCGGCUGCUGGCACGGAGUUAGCCGAUGCUGAUUCCUCAGGUACCGUCAUUUAUUCUUCCCUGAGAAAAGAGGUUUACGACCCAAGAGCCUUCCUCCCCCACGCGGUAUUGCUCCGUCAGGCUUUCGCCCAUUGCGGAAAAUUCCCCACUGCUGCCUCCCGUAGGAGUCUGGGCCGUGUCUCAGUCCCAGUGUGACUGGCCAUCCUCUCAGACCAGUUACUGAUCGGUGCCUUGGUAGGCCUUUACCCCACCAACUAGCUAAUCAGACGCGAGCUCUUCCCCAGGCAAUUAAUCUUUCACCUCUCGGCUUAUUCGGUAUUAGCCACCGUUUCCAAUGGUUGUCCCCAACCUGAGGGCCGAUUCUCACGCGUUACUCACCCGUCCG
Molecule: ribosomal RNA, 662 nt
Filed under: uncultured cyanobacterium
Lineage: Bacteria; Bacillati; Cyanobacteriota
Description: partial 16S ribosomal RNA
Source: RNAcentral